AUUGAACGCUGGCGGCAUGCCUUACACAUGCAAGUCGAACGGUAACGGGUCCUUCGGGAUGCCGACGAGUGGCGAACGGGUGAGUAAUAUAUCGGAACGUGCCCAGUAGUGGGGGAUAACUGCUCGAAAGAGCAGCUAAUACCGCAUACGACCUGAGGGUGAAAGGGGGGGAUCGCAAGACCUCUCGCUAUUGGAGCGGCCGAUAUCAGAUUAGCUAGUUGGUGGGAUAAAGGCCUACCAGGGCAACGAUCUGUAGUUGGUCUGAGAGGACGACCAGCUACACAGGGACUGAAACACGGCCCAGACGCCUACGGGAGGCAGCAGUAGGGAAUUUUGGACAAUGGGCGCAAGCCUGAUCCAGCAAUGCCGCGUGCAGGAAGAAGGCCUUCGGGUUGUAAACUGCUUUUGUCAUGGAAGAAAUCUUCUAGGCUAAUACCCCGGGAGGAUGACGGUACCUGAAGAAUAAGCACCGGCUAACUACGUGCCAGCCGCCGCAGUAA
Molecule: ribosomal RNA, 500 nt
Filed under: uncultured bacterium
Lineage: Bacteria
Description: partial 16S ribosomal RNA
Rfam family: Bacterial small subunit ribosomal RNA
Source: RNAcentral